UACGAAGCAGGCGAACGUUGUCCGGAUUUACUGGGUAUAAAGGGUGCUCAGGGGGUCUUGUAAGAAAGAGAUGAAAUCUCAAGGCUUAACCUUGAAACUGCCUUUGAUACUGCUGGGCUUGAGUACGGAAGAGGCGGAUGGAAUUCCUGGUGUAGCAGUGAAAUGCGUAGAUAUCAGGAGGAACACCGGUGGGGAAGGCGGUCCGCGGGUCCGUUACUGACUAUACAGCAAGUAGGCGUGGGGAGCACACAGG
Molecule: ribosomal RNA, 253 nt
Filed under: uncultured bacterium
Lineage: Bacteria
Description: partial 16S ribosomal RNA
Rfam family: Bacterial small subunit ribosomal RNA
Source: RNAcentral